Molecule: ribosomal RNA, 253 nt
Filed under: uncultured bacterium
Lineage: Bacteria
Description: partial 16S ribosomal RNA
Rfam family: Bacterial small subunit ribosomal RNA
Source: RNAcentral
UACGUAGGGGGCAAGCGUUAUCCGGAUUUACUGGGUGUAAAGGGAGCGUAGACGGCAUAGCAAGUCUGAAGUGAAAGCCCGUGGCUCAACCGCGGAACUGCUUUGGAAACUGUUAAGCUGGAGUACUGGAGAGGCAAGCGGAAUUCCUAGUGUAGCGGUGAAAUGCGUAGAUAUUAGGAGGAACACCAGUGGCGAAGGCGGCUUGCUGGACAGAGACUGACGUUGAGGCUCGAAAGCAUGGGGAGCAAACAGG